AGGACGAACGCUGGCGGCGUGCUUAACACAUGCAAGUCGAGCGGUAAGGCCCUUUCGGGGGUACACGAGCGGCGAACGGGUGAGUAACACGUGAGCAAUCUGCCCUUCACUUCGGGAUAAGCCUCGGGAAACGGGGUCUAAUACCGGAUAUGACCGCGCUACGCAUGUGGUGUGGUGGAAGUUCUGGCGGUGGAGGAUGAGCUCGCGGCCUAUCAGUCUUGUUGGUGGGGUAAUGGCCUACAAGGCUUCGACGGGUAGCCGGCCUGAGAGGGUGACCGGCCGCACGUGGGACUGACGACGACCGGCCAGACUCCGUACGGGAGGCGAGCGAGG
This 333-nucleotide ribosomal RNA is filed under the name uncultured soil bacterium. RNAcentral describes it as "bacterial SSU rRNA". It matches the Rfam family "Bacterial small subunit ribosomal RNA", at positions 26 to 359 of the family's 1533-position model. The record is from RNAcentral.